GAUGAAGAACGUAGCGAAAUGCGAUAAGUAGUGUGAAUUGCAGAAUUCAGUGAAUCAUCGAAUCUUUGAACGCACGUUGCGCCCCUUGGUAUCCCGAGGGGCAUGCCUGUUCGAGCGUCAUUUCACCACUCAAGCCUGGCUUGGUGUUGGGCGACGUCCCCUUUGGGGACGCGCCUCGAAACGCUCGGCGGCGUGGCACCGGCUUUAAGCGUAGCAGAAUCUUUCGCUUUGGAAGUCGGGGCCCCGUCUGCCGGAAGACCUACUCGCAAGGUUGACCUCGGAUCAGGCAGGGAUACCCGCUGAACUUAAGCAUAUCAAUAAGCGGAGGA
This 329-nucleotide unclassified non-coding RNA is filed under the name soil metagenome. RNAcentral describes it as "partial contains 5.8S ribosomal RNA, internal transcribed spacer 2, and large subunit ribosomal RNA". The stretch from base 1 to 120 matches the Rfam family "5.8S ribosomal RNA", at positions 35 to 154 of the family's 154-position model. The record is from RNAcentral.